This 73-nucleotide transfer RNA is filed under the name Bavayia robusta. RNAcentral's name for it is "tRNA-Asn". The record is from RNAcentral. Lineage: Eukaryota; Metazoa; Chordata; Lepidosauria; Squamata; Diplodactylidae.
UAGAUUGAAGCCGCUGGCUUGGGGUUUUNAGUUGUUACCUCAAGGUUACCGGGAUCGAGGCCCGUCGNUCUAN